This 209-nucleotide ribosomal RNA is filed under the name uncultured bacterium. RNAcentral describes it as "partial 16S ribosomal RNA". It matches the Rfam family "Bacterial small subunit ribosomal RNA", at positions 28 to 247 of the family's 1533-position model. The record is from RNAcentral.
GACGAACGCUGGCGGCGUGCUUAACACGUGCAAGUCACGGGGGGCCCGCAAGGGCAACCGGCGAACGGGUGCGUAACACGUGAACAACCUGCCCUCGUGUGGGGGAUAGCCAUGCUAACGCGUGGGUAAUACCGCAUACGGUCCUUUGGGGGAGUCCCUGGGGGAAGAAAGCUCCGGCGCACGGGGAGGGGUUCGCGGCCUAUCAGCUA